RNAcentral lists this ribosomal RNA (540 nucleotides) under uncultured bacterium. RNAcentral describes it as "bacterial SSU rRNA". It matches the Rfam family "Bacterial small subunit ribosomal RNA", at positions 355 to 896 of the family's 1533-position model. The record is from RNAcentral.
UAGGGAAUAUUGGUCAAUGGGCGAGAGCCUGAACCAGCCAUGCCGCGUGAAGGAAGACGGCCUUCUGGGUUGUAAACUUCUUUUAUCAGGGAACAAAACCCCCAUGCGUGGGGAACUGAGUGUACCUGAUGAAUAAGCACCGGCUAACUCCGUGCCAGCAGCCGCGGUAAUACGGAGGGUGCAAGCGUUGUCCGGAUUUAUUGGGUUUAAAGGGUGCGUAGGCGGGGUGUUAAGUCAGUGGUGAAAGCCUGCAGCUCAACUGCAGAACUGCCAUUGAUACUGGCACUCUUGAGUACGGAUGAGGUAAGCGGAAUUUAUGAUGUAGCGGUGAAAUGCAUAGAUAUCAUAAAGAACACCGAUAGCGAAGGCAGCUUACUAGACCGUAACUGACGCUGAGGCACGAAAGCGUGGGGAGCGAACAGGAUUAGAUACCCUGGUAGUCCACGCCGUAAACGAUGCUCACUCGGUGUUGGCGAUAUACAGUCAGCGCCCAAGCGAAAGCGUUAAGUGAGCCACCUGGGGAGUACGCUCGCAAGAGUG